This 460-nucleotide ribosomal RNA is filed under the name uncultured bacterium. RNAcentral's name for it is "partial 16S ribosomal RNA". It matches the Rfam family "Bacterial small subunit ribosomal RNA", at positions 338 to 795 of the family's 1533-position model. The record is from RNAcentral.
CCUACGGGAGGCAGCAGUGAGGAAUAUUGGUCAAUGGACGAGAGUCUGAACCAGCCAAGUAGCGUGAAGGAUGACUGCCCUAUGGGUUGUAAACUUCUUUUAUAUGGGAAUAAAAUGUUCCACGUGUGGGAUUUUGUAUGUACCAUAUGAAUAAGGACCGGCUCACUCCGUGCCAGCAGCCGCGGUAAUACGGAGGAUCCGAGCGUUAUCCGGAUUUAUUGGGUUUAAAGGGAGCGUAGGUGGAUUGUUAAGUCAGUUGUGAAAGUUUGCGGCUCAACCGUACAAUUGCAGUUGAAACUGGGAGUCUUGAGUACAGUAGAGGUGGGCGGAAUUCGUGGUGUAGCGGUGAAAUGCUUAGAUAUCACGAAGAACUCCGAUUGCGAAGGCAGCUCACUGGACUGCAACUGACGCUGAGGCUCGAAAGUGUGGGUAUCAAACAGGAUUAGAUACCCCGGUAGUC